Molecule: ribosomal RNA, 816 nt
Filed under: uncultured bacterium
Lineage: Bacteria
Description: bacterial SSU rRNA
Rfam family: Bacterial small subunit ribosomal RNA
Source: RNAcentral
AGAGUUUGAUCAUGGCUCAGAAUGAACGCUGGCGGCGUGCUUAACACAUGCAAGUCGUACGAGAACUCUUCUGCUUGCAGAAGAUAGUAAAGUGGCGCACGGGUGAGUAACGCGUGGGUAAUCUACCUUCGACUCGGGGAUAACAUUGCGAAAGCGAUGCUAAUACCGGAUGACAUCCCAAAUUCUUCGGAUUUUGGGAUCAAAGGUGGUCUCUACAUGUAAACUAUCGAUCGGAGAUGAGCCCGCGUACCAUUAGCUUGUUGGUAGGGUAACGGCCUACCAAGGCUACGAUGGUUAGCUGGUCUGAGAGGAUGAUCAGCCACACUGGAACUGACACACGGUCCAGACUCCUACGGGAGGCAGCAGUGAGGAAUUUUGCGCAAUGGGGGAAACCCUGACGCAGCAACGCCGCGUGAGUGAUGAAGGCUUUCGGGUCGUAAAGCUCUGUCGAGUGGGAAGAAGAAGUCCGAUGCAAAUACCAUCGGGAAUUGACGGUACCACUGAAGGAAGCACCGGCUAACUCCGUGCCAGCAGCCGCGGUAAUACGGGGGGUGCAAGCGUUAUUCGGAUUUAUUGGGCGUAAAGAGCGCGUAGGCGGCUCUAUAAGUCAGAUGUGAAAGCCCGGGGCUUAACCCCGGAAGUGCAUUUGAAACUAUAGGGCUUGAGUAUGGGAGAGGGAAGUGGAAUUCCUGGUGUAGAGGUGAAAUUCGUAGAUAUCAGGAGGAACACCGGUGGCGAAGGCGACUUCCUGGACCAAUACUGACGCUGAGGCGCGAAGGCGUGGGGAGCAAACAGGAUUAGAUACCCUAGUAGUCC